This 104-nucleotide small nuclear RNA is filed under the name Bison bison bison. The record is from RNAcentral. Lineage: Eukaryota; Metazoa; Chordata; Mammalia; Artiodactyla; Bovidae.
GUGUUCACUUCUGCAGCACAUAUACUAAAAUUGUAACAGUACAGAGAUUAGCAUGGCCCCUGCGCAAGGAUGACAUGCAAAUUCAUGAAGCAUUCCACAUUUUA